AGACUGGUAAGGAUCAGGAUGAGAAUUAAUCUUGGAUGUUCAUCAGCAGGUGUAGAGUGUCAUGGAAGGUGUUCUGGGCUCCUUUGACUUUAACAUACAUGAAUUCUAAACAUUUGACAUUUCAUACUGCAUGAUGCUGAUGACACAAAUCCUGUUCCAG
Lagopus leucura (white-tailed ptarmigan) is the source of this 160-nucleotide long non-coding RNA. RefSeq lists it as uncharacterized. The record is from RefSeq and is a predicted model, not a curated record. The transcript has 3 exons. Lineage: Eukaryota; Metazoa; Chordata; Aves; Galliformes; Phasianidae.